GACGAACGCUGGCGGCGUGCUUAACACAUGCAAGUCGAACGGAAAGGCCCCUUUGGGGGUACUCGAGUGGCGAACGGGUGAGUAACACGUGCGUAACCUGCCCUUGACUUCGGGAUAACUUCAGGAAACUGGGGCUAAUACCGGAUAGGAAUCCUUGCUGCAUGGUGGGGGUUGGAAAGCUUCGGCGGGUUUGGAUGGACUCGCGGCUUAUCAGCUUGCUGGUGGGGUAGUGGCUUACCAAGGCUUUGGCGGGUAGCCGGCCUGAGAGGGCGACCGGCCACAUUGGGGCUGAGGUAAGGCCCAGACUCCUACGGGAGGGAACAGGGGGGAAUAUUGCACAAUGGGCGGAAGCCUGAUGCAGCAACGCCGCGGGCGGGAUGACGGCCUUCGGGUUGUAAACCGCUUUCAGCAGGGGCGAAGCUUGUGGUGACGGUACCUGCAGAAGAAGCACCGGCUAACUACGUG
RNAcentral lists this ribosomal RNA (465 nucleotides) under uncultured bacterium. RNAcentral describes it as "partial 16S ribosomal RNA". It matches the Rfam family "Bacterial small subunit ribosomal RNA", at positions 28 to 507 of the family's 1533-position model. The record is from RNAcentral.